UGGGAACAUACCCUUCGGUUCGGAAUAACUCAGGGAAACUUGGGCUAAUACCGGAUAGCCUCUCGAGCUUUCGAGCUCGUGAGAAAAGGUAGCUUCGGCCUCCGAUCGAGGAUGAGCCCGCGGCGGAUUAGCUUGUUGGUGGGUAAUGGCCUACCAAGGCGACGAUCCGUAGCUGGUC
This 178-nucleotide ribosomal RNA is filed under the name uncultured bacterium. RNAcentral describes it as "partial 16S ribosomal RNA". It matches the Rfam family "Bacterial small subunit ribosomal RNA", at positions 118 to 292 of the family's 1533-position model. The record is from RNAcentral.